Molecule: ribosomal RNA, 468 nt
Filed under: uncultured bacterium
Lineage: Bacteria
Description: partial 16S ribosomal RNA
Rfam family: Bacterial small subunit ribosomal RNA
Source: RNAcentral
GACGAACGCUGGCGGCGUGCUUAACACAUGCAAGUCGAACGGAAAGGCCCUGCUUUUGUGGGGUGCUCGAGUGGCGAACGGGUGAGUAACACGUGAGUAACCUGCCCUUGACUUUGGGAUAACUUCAGGAAACUGGGGCUAAUACCGGAUAGGAGCUCCUGCUGCAUGGUGGGGGUUGGAAAGUUUCGGCGGUUGGGGAUGGACUCGCGGCUUAUCAGCUUGUUGGUGGGGUAGUGGCUUACCAAGGCUUUGACGGGUAGCCGGCCUGAGAGGGUGACCGGCCACAUUGGGACUGAGGUACGGCCCAGACUCCUACGGGAGGCAGCAGUUGGGAAUAUUGCACAAUGGGCGGAAUCCUGAUGCAGCAACGCCGCGUGCGGGAUGACGGCCUUCGGGUUGUAAACCGCUUUCGCCUGUGACGAAGCGUGAGUGACGGUAAUGGGUAAAGAAGCACCGGCUAACUACGUG